RNAcentral lists this long non-coding RNA (2062 nucleotides) under Bemisia tabaci. RNAcentral describes it as "lncRNA ENSSSA1UGG004319". Lineage: Eukaryota; Metazoa; Arthropoda; Insecta; Hemiptera; Aleyrodidae. The record is from RNAcentral.
AAAUCACGAAGUAAAACCUGAACAAGAAAAUGUAUACCCAAGAUCUCAUCCCCGUGCAAUGUUUAAGGUUUCCAUAAAGCAUUUGAAACCAAGUUGUAGUCAAAAUACUACCACAGCAGCCAGAAACUAGAAUCUUACUGCAAUCAACUUUUCAUCUAUGAAAUGAGCAAUAAGUACCAACACUAUAUUGCACGAAAAAGUAAAAGUAACAAUAUUAAUUCCGAACCUGAAAACCAUACCAACGCCAACCGAAGUCUGAUAACACGAAAUAAAUGGGACGAUGGGGACACCAACAAGAACCCACACUUAAAGAAGACAAACAACAUUAAUUCAGAAGUAACUUCACUACCUAUUGUUAACAGUAGCACCGUAUCAAUUAAGUAUAGAACUGGUCAAAUUUCAAACAUUUCUGAGCAGAAGCGGCGUAAUUUGAAGGCAUCAUCGGUCAGUCCUGCUAGGAGUAACAGGCAAAGCUCUCCCAGGAAAGUGAAUCAAGACGGAGACUUACUGAAUAGGAAGUCACGAUCAGUUCAACCUUCCAGUAAAACGGGGACAGGAAACUCUGGCCUCGGGCAAUCCUCAUCCUCUUCCAAUCAAAGGGUGAAUAAUUCACUAACUGAGAAGCUAAAUUUAUUUUAUUGUGUGGUAUUUAUUUAUAAUGGUCAUUUGGUGUACUAAGCCAUAUAGAAUUUAUUUUUUAGGGCUUUAACCCUCUAUGGCGUAGCGUUACAAAUACACAAGAACGUAUUGUUUAGGUUUUUAAAAAUUUAAUCUUCCUCUGGCAUGAUUUUGCAAAUUUUCAUUAAUUUUUUCUCUUUUUGAAUAAUUCCCUAAAAUUUGAGGUUCUAAAAAAAUUUGGUACUUAAUGUUUUUAUGCAAGCUACAAAAUAGAUAAGUGUCCUCUAGAAUCUGAGAUCCAAAAUUAAUUUAUGCCAUAACAUGAGUCAACCUGUGCCAAAUGCAACUACUGUACUUACAAACACACGGAAUUAAAGCUUUACAAUAAUAAUACAAUAGUCAUAAGAAGCUACAUAAUGAGCUAACAUAAUGAGCUACUAGGCAAGGUCUGAACAAGGAAAAAAGUCGUAUGCUUUUUGUUUAAAACCCUUGGUAGAAAACUAUUCACACACCAAGAAGUUUGGAAAUCAACUCCUAAAUGAUUCAUCAACAAGUAUUUUAACACAAAUCAAAUGAGAGGUAGAAUAUUUAAAUGCUGUCAUGUGUAUUUUUCCUCACCACUUGGCUACGCUUCCCGUUACCAUGCGUACUGCAAAGCGAUAUUCUAAUCGCUUUCAGUAUAAUUUUUGGAACAGUAUUAGUGUACUUGAAAAAAAAAAUCAUUUCCUUUUGCUCAGGGGAAGCAUUGCUUCCCUAGUAUACAUGCAGACAUUGCCACUGAGCAUUUUGUCGCUAUUGAGUGGUCUAUAUUCAAAGGGCAUACCAUAGCUUCUCUAACUUUGCAAGAUACCAACAGUACUUUUUAAAUAGUUCUGCUUUAAUAUAUUCAAUGGUUUACAGCUUUCAUGCACUGCUAAUUCAGCAUCCACCAAUGGUGAUGGACUCCGCCGAAUUUCACGGUCAUCCGUGCACCAACACUCACUUGACUCAUCACCAUCCCCAGUGCGCAGCAAUUCUUCCAGAAAUAGUCUCACCUCUACCAGUCAUAUUCCUCUAUCAACAGCCAAGAAAGAAUCAUUACAUGAUGCCUCACUGGAAAGCACUCAACUUCACCACCUCCCUGGUGCUUCAAUAAAGAAAAGAUCCCCUGUCCCUGUCAAAGGUACUUAUCUUUCUUGAAUUUUGCUCAGUAUAUUAUUACCUGAAAAACCUUCGAUAGGCGGUACUUUAAAGUUUUCUAAUUCAAGCUUAUUCUGCUUCUUGAAAUUCUGGUUUUAAUCACUUAUGUGUGCUUCUAUUUCUUUCUCUCCGCAUAUUUAUCUUUCCUCAUCAUUGCUAAUUAGAAAUCUUUAAAUUAAUCUAAUGUUACGAAUUUUGGAGAAAUACUAUGCAUUUUGAUGAAUUUCAAGGUUAUCACAGUCAGUGAAUACCGGUAAAUUUCAGG